AUUGAACGCUGGCGGCAGGCCUAACACAUGCAAGUCGAGCGGAUGAAGGGAGCUUGCUCCUGGAUUCAGCGGCGGACGGGUGAGUAAUGCCUAGGAAUCUGCCUGGUAGUGGGGGAUAACGUCCGGAAACGGGCGCUAAUACCGCAUACGUCCUGAGGGAGAAAGUGGGGGAUCUUCGGACCUCACGCUAUCAGAUGAGCCUAGGUCGGAUUAGCUAGUUGGUGGGGUAAAGGCCUACCAAGGCGACGAUCCGUAACUGGUCUGAGAGGAUGAUCAGUCACACUGGAACUGAGACACGGUCCAGACUCCUACGGGAGGCAGCAGUGGGGAAUAUUGGACAAUGGGCGAAAGCCUGAUCCAGCCAUGCCGCGUGUGUGAAGAAGGUCUUCGGACUGUAAAGCACUUUAAGUUGGGAGGAAGGGCAGUAAGUUAAUACCUUGCUGUUUUGACGUUACCAACAUAAUAAGCACCGGCUAACUUCGUG
This 484-nucleotide ribosomal RNA is filed under the name uncultured bacterium. RNAcentral's name for it is "partial 16S ribosomal RNA". It matches the Rfam family "Bacterial small subunit ribosomal RNA", at positions 30 to 507 of the family's 1533-position model. The record is from RNAcentral.